This 498-nucleotide ribosomal RNA is filed under the name uncultured bacterium. RNAcentral describes it as "partial 16S ribosomal RNA". It matches the Rfam family "Bacterial small subunit ribosomal RNA", at positions 30 to 523 of the family's 1533-position model. The record is from RNAcentral.
AUUGAACGCUGGCGGCAUGCCUUACACAUGCAAGUCGAACGGUAACAGGUCUUCGGAUGCUGACGAGUGGCGAACGGGUGAGUAAUACAUCGGAACGUGCCCGAUCGUGGGGGAUAACGAAGCGAAAGCUUUGCUAAUACCGCAUAAGAUCUACGGAUGAAAGCAGGGGACCGCAAGGCCUUGCGCGAACGGAGCGGCCGAUGGCAGAUUAGGUAGUUGGUGGGAUAAAAGCUUACCAAGCCGACGAUCUGUAGCUGGUCUGAGAGGACGACCAGCCACACUGGGACUGAGACACGGCCCAGACUCCGACGGGAGGCAGCAGUGGGGAAUUUUGGACAAUGGGCGAAAGCCUGAUCCAGCCAUGCCGCGUGCAGGAUGAAGGCCUUCGGGUUGCAAACUGCUUUUGUACGGAACGAAAAGACUCUUUCUAAUAAAGAGGGUCCAUGACGGUACCGUAAGAAUAAGCACCGGCUAACUACGUGCCAGCAGCCGCAGUAA